Gambusia affinis (western mosquitofish) is the source of this 164-nucleotide long non-coding RNA. RefSeq lists it as uncharacterized. Lineage: Eukaryota; Metazoa; Chordata; Actinopteri; Cyprinodontiformes; Poeciliidae. The transcript has 3 exons. The record is from RefSeq and is a predicted model, not a curated record.
CUGGAGACAAAGGAGCUACAGAUCUGAACAUCCAGUGAGCUUGGAGCCGUGAAGUUGUCAUGCACUGAACUAUAUAUGGAAUUGGCCAGGUGAUCCCUUGGUAGGGUCAAAGGAUGGCGAGCUUCUGACAACUGGCUGGAGCCAGGAGAACCUUAAAACUCACU